UGAAUCGCCAUAGACAUAAACUUGGAGAAGUAGCUCCGGUUAGAAUGUUCUCCCACGGGAUGCGUGCAGUUCUGUUUAUUAACCGCUAGAGCGACAAAAUUUACAUAGUGUUGCUUUAAAUCAGGUGAGGAUUUUAAUUCAGUCAAUUUUAUUCAGAAAUCCAAGCUUUUUAUGCUUCACUCUUCUUAUAUUAUUCUGUUUGGAAUCAUAUAAUAAUCAAAAACAAAUAGCCAAACCAAGUGAUGAAUAAAAACCAAUUAGAAGCAGGUUAAGGAUUAUUUGAUGCAUGAUGAUGAAAGAAAAGUACUUGAAAUGUAUGAACCACAGGAUUGUAUAGCUUGUAUAGGAGAGCGCAAGACCUCCAACUCAUAUUCAUCAGCAAGUGUUCUCUGUUAUGAAGUUUUCCAACGUGCACAGCCCUAUAGAUGAAACUAAACCUAGCAUCCCAAAGUCAUGCAGACGGCAAAUACGGACCGUAUGUAAUAUGACUGUGAAGUGCACGAUGAAAGCAGCACUUUGGAAGAGGCGCAUAGGAUUAAAAAUGUUUUAUUUGAUUGUGUCUGAGCAGACAUUACAGUAUUAUUAAUUUCAGUGUAUUUCGAAAUGUUUAUUCUUUUUGUGUUUAUGCAUGUGUAUAUUGUGUAAUACCAUCAGUAUUAUUGUCACUGACAAAUGUUUCAUUUGUAGAACCUUUUAUAUAUGUCUUAUUUUUGUAUUGCUUUAUUUAUUGCGUGUGUGAUACACACUGUAGUUUAACACAAUGUAUUUUAGAAUUAAUCUCAGUGCCACGAAGGAGGUUAAACCCUUAUAUAUAAAGCUGAACUUCACAGUAUUAGUUUUAUAAUUUCAAGUUAUUUUUAACUCUACCACAGAAAGUCAGUUAGGCAGACAUAUGUACCCAUCGCUUUGGUUUUUCUUAAAUCUGAAGCUUUCCAACAGCUUCACAGUAAUUCAUAAACCUGUGAUGAAGAGCAUGGAUUCAUGUGGUUGUACUGGUGUUGAAAUUGCAUUUUGGAACCAAAAUUAGUCAAGCCAUUUUUUUGUUUUUGUUUUUAUUUGUGCCAACUCUGAAUUGUGUGUGUAAAUGUCACAUUUUCCACAAAGUUGAUGAACGUAUUUGUAGGAUUUUUCUUCUUUUCUUUCCUUUUAUGAUGCCCCAUAAAAUAAAAUGAAAUGAAGCACCAGGUAAUUUCAAAAUUACUUAUUUAUUAUCAAACAAAUGUACUGAAAGAGUGCUAAUAUUUUAUAAUAUUUAUAAAAACAGUGGGUGUCCAGGAAGAUGUUUAGCAUUUCAUUUAAAGCUUAAAAAACUAAAGCUUUUAAUACUUAAACCUUAGCAGACAGAGUACAUGUUCAGCACUGUUAAGUGACAGCAUCCAGUUUGUGAGGUUUUGUAUUUAAAAAUUCAGGAAAACACUAGAUUAGGACAAGAUCUUCAAAGACUUGCAAAUUUAAUAUAUGUUUUUUUUCGUUUGAAAAAGAAAAUGUAUCCAUUUGAAUGGAGAGAAAAUAUUUAGCAAUUUCCACUUAAGAGUGAAAUAAGAGAGCAUUAGAACUAGAAAUCAGUGAACAAAA
This is a long non-coding RNA of Carassius carassius (crucian carp), 1575 nucleotides long. RefSeq lists it as uncharacterized. Lineage: Eukaryota; Metazoa; Chordata; Actinopteri; Cypriniformes; Cyprinidae. The record is from RefSeq and is a predicted model, not a curated record. The transcript is spliced from 2 exons.